CAGUCGCCGCGGUAAUACGUAGGUCCCGAGCGUUGUCCGGAUUUAUUGGGCGUAAAGCGAGCGCAGGCGGUUUGAUAAGUCUGAAGUUAAAGGCUGUGGCUCAACCAUAGUUCGCUUUGGAAACUGUCAAACUUGAGUGCAGAAGGGGAGAGUGGAAUUCCAUGUGUAGCGGUGAAAUGCGUAGAUAUAUGGAGGAACACCGGUGGCGAAAGCGGCUCUCUGGCUUGUAACUGACGCUGAGGCUCGAAAGCGUGGGGAGCGAACAGGAUUAGAUACCCCGGUAGUCCCUGUCUCUUAUACA
RNAcentral lists this ribosomal RNA (301 nucleotides) under uncultured bacterium. RNAcentral's name for it is "partial 16S ribosomal RNA". It matches the Rfam family "Bacterial small subunit ribosomal RNA", at positions 509 to 808 of the family's 1533-position model. The record is from RNAcentral.